CUCAUCAACACGUCAGGUCAAGGUGCAGCUCACGGAACGGAAAGCAAUGGGCUACAAUUUCUAACUUAGAACAUACGAAAGACUAUCUCAAAUCCUAGUCAUGAAGGCGGAUUUAGUAGUAAAAGGAAAAUAGAGUGUUCCUUUUAACCCGGCUCUGGGACGCGUACACACCGCCCGUCACCCUCUUCGAUAUGACCU
This 198-nucleotide ribosomal RNA is filed under the name Pelophylax ridibundus (marsh frog). RNAcentral's name for it is "12S ribosomal RNA". Lineage: Eukaryota; Metazoa; Chordata; Amphibia; Anura; Ranidae. The record is from RNAcentral.